UACGGAGGAUGCAAGCGUUAUCCGGAAUCAUUGGGUUUAAAGGGUCCGUAGGCGGUUUAGUAAGUCAGUGGUGAAAGCCCAUCGCUCAACGGUGGAACGGCCAUUGAUACUGCUAGACUUGAAUUAUUAGGAAGUAACUAGAAUAUGUAGUGUAGCGGUGAAAUGCUUAGAGAUUACAUGGAACACCAAUUGCGAAGGCAGGUUACUACUAAUACAUUGACGCUGAUGGACGAAAGCGUGGGUAGCGAACAGG
RNAcentral lists this ribosomal RNA (253 nucleotides) under uncultured bacterium. RNAcentral describes it as "partial 16S ribosomal RNA". It matches the Rfam family "Bacterial small subunit ribosomal RNA", at positions 524 to 776 of the family's 1533-position model. The record is from RNAcentral.